UAACUUCAUUUUGGUUUCUAGACCUGUGU
RNAcentral lists this non-coding RNA (29 nucleotides) under Mus musculus (house mouse). Lineage: Eukaryota; Metazoa; Chordata; Mammalia; Rodentia; Muridae. The record is from RNAcentral.